UUGUCUUUUAAAUAAAGACUAGUAUGAACGGCUAAAUGAGGACAGAUCUGUCUCUUACAAUUGACCAGUGAAACUGAUCUUCAAGUCCAAAAGCUUGAAUAAACACAUAAGACGAGAAGACCCUGUGGAGCUUCAAACCCACACUAUAAUUAACCAAAUAGCACCGGUUUUAAGUUGGGGCGACUUCGGAAUACAACCUAACUUCCGAGCACAGGGCCAUCACACCCUCACCAAGACCGACAGGUCAAAGAAAAAUCCGACCCAGUCACACUGACCAACGAACCAAGUUACCCCAGGGAUAACAGCGCUAUCUUCUUCAAGAGUCCCUAUCGACAAGAAGGUUUACGACCUCGAUGUUGGAUCAGGACACCCAAAUGGUGCAGCAACUAUUAAAGGUUCGUUUGUUCAACGAUU
This 414-nucleotide ribosomal RNA is filed under the name Cryptoblepharus cognatus. Its description in RNAcentral is "partial 16S ribosomal RNA". It matches the Rfam family "Bacterial large subunit ribosomal RNA", at positions 1969 to 2589 of the family's 2925-position model. Lineage: Eukaryota; Metazoa; Chordata; Lepidosauria; Squamata; Scincidae. The record is from RNAcentral.